GAAGUAGUUCAGUGGUAGAAUACAACCUUGCCAAGGUUGGGGUCGCGGGUUCGAAUCCCGUCUUC
This 65-nucleotide transfer RNA is filed under the name Bacillus sp. AKBS9. Its description in RNAcentral is "tRNA-Gly". It matches the Rfam family "tRNA". Rfam says of the family: Transfer RNA (tRNA) molecules are approximately 80 nucleotides in length. Their secondary structure includes four short double-helical elements and three loops (D, anti-codon, and T loops). Lineage: Bacteria; Bacillati; Bacillota; Bacilli; Caryophanales; Bacillaceae. The record is from RNAcentral.